CUCGUAGGCGGUUUGGCAAGUCGGGUGUGAAACCUCCAGGCUCAACCUGGAGCCGCCACUCGAUACUGCCAUGACUCGAGUCCGGUAGGGGACCAUGGAAUUCCUGGUGUAGCGGUGAAAUGCGCAGAUAUCAGGAGGAACACCAGUGGCGAAGGCGGUGGUCUGGGCCGGUACUGACGCUGAGGAGCGAAAGCGUGGGGAGCAAACAGGAUUAGAUACCCUGGUAGUCCACGCCGUAAACGUUGGGCACUAGGUGUGGGACCCCAUCGACGGGUUCCGUGCCGUAGCUAACGCAUUAAGUGCCCCGCCUGGGGAGUACGGCCGCAAGGCUAAA
Molecule: ribosomal RNA, 334 nt
Filed under: uncultured bacterium
Lineage: Bacteria
Description: bacterial SSU rRNA
Rfam family: Bacterial small subunit ribosomal RNA
Source: RNAcentral